UACAGAGGGUGCGAGCGUUGUCCGGAAUCACUGGGCGUAAAGGGCGCGUAGGUGGCGGCCCAAGUCCAUGGUGAAAGCUCGAUGCUCAACAUCGAGUCGGCCACGGAUACUGGGUUGCUCGAGCACUGUAGAGGCAGAUGGAAUUCCGGGUGUAGCGGUGGAAUGCGUAGAGAUCCGGAAGAACACCGGUGGCGAAGGCGGUCUGCUGGGCAGUAGCUGACACUGGGGCGCGACAGCGUGGGGAGCAAACAGG
RNAcentral lists this ribosomal RNA (253 nucleotides) under uncultured bacterium. RNAcentral describes it as "partial 16S ribosomal RNA". It matches the Rfam family "Bacterial small subunit ribosomal RNA", at positions 524 to 776 of the family's 1533-position model. The record is from RNAcentral.